AUUUCAAUAAAGCAGAGACUGAAUCAUUCUGAGUAUCGAGGGAAGGAACGACUGUACUCAGAACUACUAUGAAAAAGGAGCCAGGAAAAAGAAAAAUGGGUUUUGUUCCCGAAAACUCAAAACAAAAUUCACUUUGCAGGGUGUUCUGAGGAUCAGAUGCCAUCUUCUUGAUCAGAAGCAAGGUCCCCUGCCUGUCCGAAUAGAAAGCAGGCAAGCUUCAGGAUCGAUGCCAUCCUUUUGAGGUUGACCAAGUCAGGAAACAGACACCACAGGAAAUUUGAGACAUCUACUUUAUUGAUCUAUGCUACAAUAGGAGACUGUUGAAAGCCUGUUGUAUUUCUCCUUGCCUCCCUCUUCGACCAAAGACAGCAAAGAUAAGAUACAAGAAGAAGCAUCACAUAAGAUCCAGGAGAGUAGAACUGAAAAUUGUAUGAAUCUCAACAAGUAAAACUGUUUACUGUCUUAGUUAAUCUUUCUCAAAUUGUUUCAAAUUACUAUAAAACCAACCUUAAAAUAA
Long non-coding RNA from Pantherophis guttatus, 517 nucleotides. RefSeq lists it as uncharacterized. Lineage: Eukaryota; Metazoa; Chordata; Lepidosauria; Squamata; Colubridae. The record is from RefSeq and is a predicted model, not a curated record.